GCCGUUUCUCUGCGUCAUCACCCUCACAGGCCCUUGCAACUUUAGGAUGAGGUGAUGGCUGUAAGACCCCUUUUACAAGUGAGGACAUGGGCUCGGAUGCCUGUUCUGCUCAGAACUGCACAGCUAGUGGAGACGCUACCAUCGAACUUCAUGAUUCAUGGAUUCCACGCUUGUGCAUUGGCUCACUCACUAAGGUUUAUUUGUAAUCAUUGACAUACACACUCGGGUUUGCAGGCAUUUGUGGACAUGCUCGGGCCUGAGGAAAAUUUGGGUUGCCCAGCACAGAUGUUCCCAGCUGAAGUGGAACAAGACGACACUUUUUUUUUCCUCUUGCUUUUUAGGGCCACACGUGUAGCGUAUGGAAGUUCCCAACUAGGGGUUGAAUGGGAGCUGCAGCUGCCGGCCUCCACCACAGCCACAGCCACAUGGGACCCAAGCCAUGUCUGUGACCUACACCACAGCUCAUGGCCACACCAGACUCUGAACCCCCUGAGCGAGGCCAGGGAUUGAACCUGAGUCCUCAUGGAUGCUAGUCGGGUUCAUAACCUGCUGAGCCAUAGUGGGAACUCCAGGGCGACAUUCUUUUUGUCUCCGCUCAGACCAUUGACAAAGGUCCCUUCGCGUGGCCUAUUUGGUGCCACAUUUUUUUGCAUUUGUGCUUUUGGCUGGGGACUGGGCUGUCGCCAGUGGCUCCCAGCGUGGUGUUGAGGAGCUGUUGGGUGUUCCUGAGGGCAAGAAGGCUGGGAUGUGUCUUAUGGAGAAAAUAUAGGAGCUGGGUAAGCCUUGUUCAGGCAGAGUGACAGUGCUGUUGCUGGCUGUGAAUUCAAAGUUAAUGAAUCAACUGUAUACUAAAUAAGGCAUUUUUAAACAGAAACACAGAUAAAACAAGGUUAUGUACUGACAGGUUGAUCAAGAUCAGUUUCCCCUAGGAGCAGUGGUUCAGCCUUCGCUAAUUCAGUGUUGGCGAUGAUUUUAUAGGACAGGAUUGCAAAGUGUCACAAGAAGUGACUGUACUUGGAACCACUUCUGUUUGCCUCUCCUGUCAUCCUUGAAGAAGGAGGCAGAGAGACUGUCAGAGGGGUCUGGCCCUGCCCCAUGGUGCCUUUAUCCCUGCCAGAGGUCCAUUCUCCUUUGUUAGAAUCAGAUUUACCCAUGUCAUGGGUCAGCUGUAGUUCUGGACAGAUGACCUUAUCUGCUUGUCAGCUGGGUGUCUUGGGUGAAUUAUGUGCCCUGUUUCUUCCUCUCUCCGGUGGAGUUCUUAAUACUAUUUGGCAGGGUUGUUUGGGGGAAUUAGGUGAGAUUAAUAUACCUUAAGUUCUUAGCGUGGUGCCUAGAUCAUCAUAAAACUUAAGGACUAUUAAAACAACGAUCAGGAGUUUGGGUUGGAGUUAUUUUUGUGAUGCUCGUGUUCCAAGUCUCUGGCUGGUUAUCCUGGCUCUUAUUUGAGCCUCCCUUUUACUCUCUGCCUGUCUUUUCUGCCCUUGGCUCCUUUCUGGUGCUCUCUCCUGACCUCCCUGUUCUGGACAGUACAAGCCCUGGGUCCGCUCUGUCAUGCCCAGGAUCCAUCGGCUUUCUGUGGGCCAAAGUCCAGCAGGACUCUACCUUCAUUCUGCAGGUGGGCACAGAAGGCUGUGGGGUCGAAGCCACCUAAUGGAUUCAAUCACUGCUCCUCCCGGCACAUGCUUUGCGUGGUCCAGCCCCAUUGAACCUAUUGAACCGGGGGCUGCUGAAGGUUUGCUUCCACUGAGAAGAGAGCAAUGAAGCCUACACCAGGGGGUAGGCUUAGAUGAUGUUAGUAUGUAUGGAUGGAUCAGGGAGGGAUUUCGCCACUGAGACAGAGAGAGGUACAAGAAAUGGCACACAUCUUAAAUACAAAGAUUAAGUCAAACUCCAUGGGUCCAACUGGCUGAGGUCAUGAAGGAAUGUGAUCUUUAGGGUCUAUCCUUGUUGGGCUGCACAAGACCUCAAGCGUCUAAAUAGUCCCAUCCAAACAGAUAGAAUGCUACCCAGGAGGGGCGGUGAUGCCUCCUGGAGUGCUGUCCAGCCCUGCCCAGUGGUGUCCCUGACCCCUUAACCCACAGCAGGCUUGGCAGCAGAGAUGGGCUUCUAGAACAUCCCUGAUGCUUAGGCUUGGCCCUAAGCCUCAUGGAACUCCUUGAAGCCAUGCCCUACCUAGGUCUUGGCCUCUCUAGGUAACUUGUGGCUGUGGGCAUAGGGCUUUCCCUCUAGUGGAACUCCACACCCUAUUUCCAUCCCCAGCCCUGAGCAGGAGAGGCUGGAAAUGAGUGAGCAGGAGAGCCAGACAUCAACUAAUUUCUCACCCCAUUAUGCAGAGUGAGCACUUGAAUAAUUCCUAUAGCAGAAGCGGAGCACAAGAGUGGCUUUCAAGGCUUUAUGGGAGGGAGUUUAGCAUGGGUCCACAAUGGAGAAAUCCUCAUUGCUAAGGGACAUCUUUGAAAACUCUGGACAUCUUGUCUUGGAAUGGCUCUUUUAAAUUUGAAGGGGUGGUUUAUUUAUCCCUUAAUAGGUUCCAGUUGAACAGUCUGGCUGCUGUCUGUUAACGGGGUUUGAAUUUCCCACCGGGGCUGUAGACAGAAGUUUCCCCAAAAGUGCUUGGGAGGUGGUGGAAUCCCUCUCCCUGGUGGUCCUGGGUUAGGUGGAUGCCAGUAUUCUCAUCCUUGCAGUAACCUGCGAGUUAGGUACUAGUACCAUCCUGUUUCACAGGUGACUAAAGAGGAGCUUGGGAGUUGAGAUAUGCUCAAAGUCAGAUGAGUAACUUUGGUAAGGGGACGGCAAUUCAAUUGUUUGGACACUCCAAGUCCAAACCCAGUGUUCCCAGGCACUGAGCCCUUACAGGAGGUGCUGGGGGGUUGAAUCAGUUUGCCGGUCUGCUGGGACCUUGCGUUCUAUUCUAUUUUAUUCUGUUUUUGGAAGACCGUGGUAAAGGCCAGUGGUGUUGCCUGGGAUUGUUCUUUGGGAAACACUCAUGAUUCCCCUGCGUGACACAUCCCUUCAGGCCAUGGCGCAUUGAGUCACAGGGAAAAUGAUUGGAGGGGAGGUCGUUGUGGUCUCUCUCAGGAGAGUGGGUGUGGAGAGCAGCGGUAAGUAACACCAGGAUCCUAGAACCAAGACCGAUCAACUUUUCUUGCUGAAAACGUGAGAGGCGCCCUGCCUUCCUAGCUUUCUAUUGGCUUGGUGGUUCAGAUUUUCGUUGGAAUCUAUGAAAUGCCUCAGUAUCCUCGUCAUCGCCAACUUCCCCCCAUUAUCAUCAGAAUUUUCAUCACCAUCACCUUCCCGUCAUCAUCAUCACCAUCAUUAUCCCUGUACUUAAGCUCACGCAACUUGUUUUUCAUUGUUGCAGUCAGAGCAAGGUCAAGAAAUAGCCAGAUCUGGAGUUCCCGUCAUGGCUCAGUGGUAAUGAGCCCGACUAGUAUCCAUGAGGACACGGGUUCGAUCCCUGGCCUCAGUCAGUGGGUUCAGGAUCUGAUAUUGCUCUGAACUGUGAUGUAGGUCACAGAGGCGGCUUGGAUUCUGCAUCGCUGUGGCUGUGGUGUAGCUACAGCUCCGAUUCAACCCCUAGUCUGGGAACUUCCAUAUGCCCAUAUGCUGCAGAGGCAGCCCUAAAAAGACCAAAAAGCAAAAACAAAACCCAAAACCAAAACAGCACUCGGAUCCAUUCUUUAACCUAAUUCACCCCUCCAGGUGAGGGGCUCAGCCCUUCUGUUAACCAGUCUCAGAAAAGGACUCUGGAAUCCCUUUUACAAAUUGGGAGAGGAAAUUAUACCAUGACCCAUUUUCCUUAAAAUAGGGGUUGAUUUUGCUUUUUGUUCCCCUUAUGAAGCUCGAACCUUCCUUUUCCCAUGCCAUUUUCUAUGGGAUUAUGACUUUUUUUUUUUUUUUGGCCAAAGAUUAUUACUUCAAAUAAAAGAUAAGGAGUGUUUCCAAUCCUGCUACAAAAAUGUAUGAGCAGCGUAAAGGAGGUCCCUAAGGCCCAUCCGUGAGGAACAACAGGAUCUUAUUAGCACAUUCUGCUCUCAUUUAUCAGAGUGUUUUUCAGCCAUUCCAACCUAUUUUAAAGCAUUUCACACUUUCCACAGAGAAACAGUCUAUUAUUUCUAGUAAGAACUGAAUGCUGGGGAUUCAGGGCACAUGUAAGCUACCUCUAGAGAUACUUGGAGUUUUUCUGCUUGCCUAGAGCCUGCUCUGUUCUCCAAACCCACUUUCCUUGAAGGGAUCAACCACUGUACCGCACAGGAAAUGGGAUUUGAAGUGCCAUUGAUUCACUUGGUCUAGCUCUUUUUAUUUUUCCUGUCUGCGCCCAG
This 4322-nucleotide long non-coding RNA is filed under the name Sus scrofa (pig). RNAcentral describes it as "lncRNA (ENSSSCG00000058486.1)". Lineage: Eukaryota; Metazoa; Chordata; Mammalia; Artiodactyla; Suidae. The record is from RNAcentral.